GCAUCGACCAGAGGGAAAAGGAGCAAUCCGCUUUGAGAUGGCCUCGCGUCCGAUUAGCUAGUUGGUGAGGUAACGGCCCACCAAGGCGACGAUCGGUAGCCGGACUGAGAGGUUGAACGGCCACAUUGGGACUGAGACACGGCCCAGACUCCUACGGGAGGCAGCAGUGGGGAAUAUUGCACAAUGGGGGAAACCCUGAUGCAGCGACGCCGCGUGGAGGAAGAAGGUCUUCGGAUUGUAAACUCCUGUUGUUGAGGAAGAUAAUGACGGUACUCAACAAGGAAGUGACGGCUAACUACGUGCCAGCAGCCGCGGUAAAACGUAGGUCACAAGCGUUGUCCGGAAUUACUGGGUGUAAAGGGAGCGCAGGCGGGAAGACAAGUUGGAAGUGAAAUCUAUGGGCUCAACCCAUAAACUGCUUUCAAAACUGUUUUUCUUGAGUAGUGCAGAGGUAGGCGGAAUUCCCGGUGUAGCGGUGGAAUGCGUAGAUAUCGGGAGGAACACCAGUGGCGAAGGCGGCCUACUGGGCACCAACUGACGCUGAGGCUCGAAAGUGUGGGUAGCAAACAGGAUUAGAUACCCUGGUAGUCCACACCGUAAACGAUGAUUACUAGGUGUUGGAGGAUUGACCCCUUCAGUGCCG
Molecule: ribosomal RNA, 643 nt
Filed under: uncultured bacterium
Lineage: Bacteria
Description: bacterial SSU rRNA
Rfam family: Bacterial small subunit ribosomal RNA
Source: RNAcentral